GCGCAAGCGGCGGAGGCAUGUGGCGUUAAUUCGACGCAACGCGAAGAACCUUACCAAGGCUUGACAUACACCGGAAAACCCUCGGAGACAGGGUCCCCCUUCGUGGUCGGUGUACAGGUGGUGCAUGGCUGUCGUCAGCUCGUGUCGUGAGAUGUUGGGUUAAGUCCCGCAACGAGCGCAACCCUUGUCCCGUGUUGCCAGCAGGCCCUUGUGGUGCUGGGGACUCACGGGAGACCGCCGGGGUCAACUCGGAGGAAGGUGGGGACGACGUCAAGUCAUCAUGCCCCUUAUGUCUUGGGCUGCACACGUGCUACAAUGGCCGGUACAAUGAGCUGCGAU
Molecule: non-coding RNA, 339 nt
Filed under: Streptomyces afghaniensis 772
Lineage: Bacteria; Bacillati; Actinomycetota; Actinomycetes; Kitasatosporales; Streptomycetaceae
Description: Bacterial small subunit ribosomal RNA
Rfam family: Bacterial small subunit ribosomal RNA
Source: Rfam by way of RNAcentral